UAAUCAUUAUUAUAAUAGUAUUUCUAAUUUUCAUUUAGAAGGUUUAUGAUUAU
RNAcentral lists this transfer RNA (53 nucleotides) under Meloidogyne graminicola. RNAcentral's name for it is "transfer RNA-Glu (UUC)". The record is from RNAcentral. Lineage: Eukaryota; Metazoa; Nematoda; Chromadorea; Rhabditida; Meloidogynidae. RNAcentral also lists the same sequence under 1 other name.